AUGGCGGGCGCAAGGAACAACGAGCUGCGCAUGACCCUGCUCGGCCUGGCCCUGCUGGGGCUCCUGCUGCUGAGCCACACCGCGGCGCCGGUGGAAGCCGCCGCGGGCGUGAACGGGAACAGCUUCUCCAUGAACAGCAUCGGCGGCCGCAGUCUCAAAAGCUUCAGCAUGAACACCGCCGAGAACGGCGACGGCGCCAAGGGGGGGAAGGUCAAACCCGCCGGCGGCGACUUCUGA
This 237-nucleotide ribosomal RNA is filed under the name Triticum aestivum (bread wheat). RNAcentral describes it as "partial small subunit ribosomal RNA". Lineage: Eukaryota; Viridiplantae; Streptophyta; Magnoliopsida; Poales; Poaceae. The record is from RNAcentral.